CGGCAACAGCUCAAAUUUGAAAUCUGGCCUCUUUCGGGGUCCGAGUUGUAAUUUGUAGAGGAUGUUUUGGGUACCGCGCUGGUUUAAAUUUCUUGGAACAGAACGUCAUAGAGGGUGAGAAUCCCGUCUAGAAUCUAUAGCCGUAUCCAUGUGAAACUCCUUCGAC
Molecule: ribosomal RNA, 166 nt
Filed under: Chaetothyriales sp.
Lineage: Eukaryota; Fungi; Ascomycota; Eurotiomycetes; Chaetothyriales
Description: partial large subunit ribosomal RNA
Rfam family: Eukaryotic large subunit ribosomal RNA
Source: RNAcentral